RNAcentral lists this ribosomal RNA (452 nucleotides) under uncultured bacterium. RNAcentral's name for it is "bacterial SSU rRNA". It matches the Rfam family "Bacterial small subunit ribosomal RNA", at positions 8 to 507 of the family's 1533-position model. The record is from RNAcentral.
AGAGUUUGAUCAUGGCUCAGAACGAACGCUGGCGGCAUGCCUAACACAUGCAAGUCGAACGAAGCCUUCGGGCUUAGUGGCGCACGGGUGCGUAACACGUGGAAUCUGCCCUUUGGUUCGGAAUAACAGUUAGAAAUGACUGCUAAUACCGGAUAAUGACGUAAGUCCAAAGAUUUAUCGCCGAAGGAUGAGCCCGCGUAGGAUUAGGUAGUUGGUGGGGUAGUGGCCCACCAAGCCGACGAUCCUUAGCUGGUCUGAGAGGAUGAUCAGCCACACUGGGACUGAGACACGGCCCAGACUCCUACGGGAGGCAGCAGUGGGGAAUAUUGGACAAUGGGCGAAAGCCUGAUCCAGCAAUGCCGCGUGAGUGAUGAAGGCCUUAGGGUUGUAAAGCUCUUUUACCAGGGAUGAUAAUGACAGUACCUGGAGAAUAAGCUCCGGCUAACUCCGUG